UUACGGCCACAUCACGUUGAAACACCAAUUUGCGUACGAUCACCGAAGUUAAGCAACCUCGAGCCUGGUUAAUACCUCCAUGGGUGACCAUUUCGGAAUACCAAGCGCU
This is a non-coding RNA of Acanthosepion pharaonis, 109 nucleotides long. Lineage: Eukaryota; Metazoa; Mollusca; Cephalopoda; Sepiida; Sepiidae. The record is from the annotation of a GenBank genome assembly.